AUUGAACGCUGGCGGAAUGCUUUACACAUGCAAGUCGAACGGCAGCACGGGAGCUUGCUCCUGGUGGCGAGUGGCGAACGGGUGAGUAAUGCGUCGGAACGUACCGAGUAAUGGGGGAUAACGCAGCGAAAGCUGUGCUAAUACCGCAUACGCCCUGAGGGGGAAAGUGGGGGAUCGCAAGACCUCACGUUAUUCGAGCGGCCGACGUCUGAUUAGCUAGUUGGUGGGUAAAGGGCCUACCAAGGCGACGAUCAGUAGCGGGUCGUGAGAGGAUGAUCCGCCACACUGGAACUGAGACACGGUCCAGACUCCUACGGGAGGCGAGCAGUGGGGAAUUUUGGACAAUGGGGGCAACCCUGAUCCAGCCAUUCCGCGUGAGUGAAGAAGGCCUCGGUUGUAAGU
This 402-nucleotide ribosomal RNA is filed under the name uncultured bacterium. Its description in RNAcentral is "bacterial SSU rRNA". It matches the Rfam family "Bacterial small subunit ribosomal RNA", at positions 30 to 430 of the family's 1533-position model. The record is from RNAcentral.